AGAGUUGAUUAUGGCUCAGGACGAACGCUGGCGGCGUGCCUAAUACAUGCAAGUGGAACGCUGAGGACUGGUGCUUGCACUGGUCUAAGGAGUUGCGAACGGGUGAGUAACGCGUAGGUAACCUACCUCAUAGCGGGGGAUAACUAUUGGAAACGAUAGCUAAUACCGCAUGACAAUAGGGUACACAUGUACCCUAUUUAAAAGGGGCAAAUGCUUCACUAUGAGAUGGACCUGCGUUGUAUUAGCUAGUUGGUAAGGUAACGGCUUACCAAGGCGACGAUACAUAGCCGACCUGAGAGGGUGAUCGGCCACACUGGGACUGAGACACGGCCCAGACUCCUACGGGAGGCAGCAGUAGGGAAUCUUCGGCAAUGGGGGGAACCCUGACCGAGCAACGCCGCGUGAGUGAAGAAGGUUUUCGGAUCGUAAAGCUCUGUUGUUAGAGAAGAACGGUAAUGGGAGUGGAAAAUCCAUUACAUGACGGUAACUAACCAGAAAGGGACGGCUAACUACGUGCCAGCCGCCGC
RNAcentral lists this ribosomal RNA (527 nucleotides) under uncultured bacterium. Its description in RNAcentral is "bacterial SSU rRNA". It matches the Rfam family "Bacterial small subunit ribosomal RNA", at positions 8 to 518 of the family's 1533-position model. The record is from RNAcentral.